Molecule: long non-coding RNA, 779 nt
Organism: Oncorhynchus tshawytscha (Chinook salmon)
Lineage: Eukaryota; Metazoa; Chordata; Actinopteri; Salmoniformes; Salmonidae
Source: Ensembl
GGGGAGGGGGAGAGAAGGGGGAAGAGAGGGAGAAGGUGAGGGGGAGUAGAAGGGGGAAGAGAGGGAGAAGGUGAGGGGGAGUAGAAGGGGGAAGAGAGGGAGAAGGUGAGGGGGAGUAGAAGGGGGAAGAGAGGGAGAAGGGGAGGGAGGUAUAUAUGGUGCCUUACUGUGUGUGGCUUUGGUCAAAAGUAGUGCACCAUUAUAGGGAAUAGGAUGCCAUUUGAGGGUACAUCCCCACUGUGUAGUAAUAGGAUCUUCUAUGUUAUUUACACUGUCUCUCACUCACACUCCGCUCAUAACACACUGACUAUAGCACAGUGAUGAUAUAAGAGACCAGAGAUAUGCUGGGAAAGUAACAAAAAGCACCACACAUGUUGUACGUCUGACUGGUACAUAGUUACUGUACAGGAAAUAAAGGAAUCGUUUUCCAUUGGAAUGUCUUAGUUCCUCGACGGCCAAACGCUUCCAUUGUUUAACAGAAGCGUCUGACUAGAUGGAUCAGUGUGUGUGUGUGUGUGUGUGUGUGUGUGUGUUCAGAGGCUUCUGUUGGCUCCUAGAUGUAUCUGUGUGUGUUCAGAGGCUUCUGUUGGCUCCUAGAUGUAUCUGUGUGUGUUCAGAGGCUUCUGUUGGCUCCUAGAUGUAUCUGUGUGUGUUCAGAGGCUUCUGUUGGCUCCUAGAUGGAUCUGUGUGUGUUCAGAGGCUUCUGUUGGCUCCUAGAUGUAUCUGUGUGUGUUCAGAGGCUUCUGUUGGCUCCUAGAUGUAUCUGUGUGUGUUCAGAG